RNAcentral lists this ribosomal RNA (502 nucleotides) under uncultured bacterium. RNAcentral's name for it is "partial 16S ribosomal RNA". It matches the Rfam family "Bacterial small subunit ribosomal RNA", at positions 29 to 507 of the family's 1533-position model. The record is from RNAcentral.
AACGAACGCUGGCGGCGUGCCUAACACAUGCAAGUCGAACGAGAAAGGGGCUUCUGCUCCGCGUAAAGUGGCGCACGGGUGAGUAACACGUGGGUAACCUGCCUCUAAGAUUGGGAUAACUCGUCGAAAGAUGAGCUAAUACCGAAUAAGACCACAGUUCCCGCGGGAACAGGGGUUAAAGGUAGCCUCUGCUUGCAAGCUAUCACUUAGAGAUGGGCCUGCGCACCAUAGCUAGUUGGUAGGGUAACGGCCUACCAAGGCAAAGAUGGGUAGCUGGACUGAGAGGAUGAUCAGCCAAACUGGAACUGAGACACGGUCCAGACGCCUAGGGGAGGCAGCAGGGGGGAAUAUUGCGCAAGGGGCGAAAGAUUGAAGCAGCAACGCCGCGUGAGUGAGGAAGGCCGUCGGGUCGGAAAGCUCGGUCGGGAGGAACGAAUGCUCCUGAGGUUAACAGCCUCGGGAGGUGACGGUACCUUCAAAAGAAGCACCGGCUAACUCUGUG